GACGAACGCUGGCAGCGUGCCUAAUACAUGCAAGUCGUACGCUUCUUUUUCCACCGGAGCUUGCUCCACCGGAAAAAGAAGAGUGGCGAACGGGUGAGUAACACGUGGGUAACCUGCCCAUCAGAAGGGGAUAACACUUGGAAACAGGUGCUAAUACCGUAUAACAAUCGAAACCGCAUGGUUUUGAUUUGAAAGGCGCUUUCGGGUGUCGCUGAUGGAUGGACCCGCGGUGCAUUAGCUAGUUGGUGAGGUAACGGCUCACCAAGGCCACGAUGCAUAGCCGACCUGAGAGGGUGAUCGGCCACAUUGGGACUGAGACACGGCCCAAACUCCUACGGGAGGCAGCAGUAGGGAAUCUUCGGCAAUGGACGAAAGUCUGACCGAGCAACGCCGCGUGAGUGAAGAAGGUUUUCGGAUCGUAAAACUCUGUUGUUAGAGAAGAACAAGGAUGAGAGUAACUGUUCAUCCCUUGACGGUAUCUAACCAGAAAGCCACGGCUAACUACGUGCCAGCAGCCGCGGUAAUACGUAGGUGGCAAGCGUUGUCCGGAUUUAUUGGGCGUAAAGCGAGCGCAGGCGGUUUCUUAAGUCUGAUGUGAAAGCCCCCGGCUCAACCGGGGAGGGUCAUUGGAAACUGGGAGACUUGAGUGCAGAAGAGGAGAGUGGAAUUCCAUGUGUAGCGGUGAAAUGCGUAGAUAUAUGGAGGAACACCAGUGGCGAAGGCGGCUCUCUGGUCUGUAACUGACGCUGAGGCUCGAAAGCGUGGGGAGCAAACAGGAU
This 779-nucleotide ribosomal RNA is filed under the name Enterococcus faecium. Its description in RNAcentral is "bacterial SSU rRNA". It matches the Rfam family "Bacterial small subunit ribosomal RNA", at positions 28 to 778 of the family's 1533-position model. Lineage: Bacteria; Bacillati; Bacillota; Bacilli; Lactobacillales; Enterococcaceae. The record is from RNAcentral.